UAGGAUUUGGAGUGAGAGCUCUCGUUUCCCUCGCUCACAAAAAAAACUCACGGGUUCCACUCUCUUCCCUCCUCUUCUUCGCGGUUCAGCGCCUCCACCAGCACCAGUCGUGCCCUCUUGUUCCACCAGCAGUGGCAGCCACUCUCCCCCCCCCCCCCCCACGAAGCAGCAGCCGGUUGCAGGAGCCACAACGCUCCCCCCAAACAGUAGUCGUAGUUGCGUUUACAGCCACCUGCAGCAGCGGCUGCCUGCACAGCCACCAAGGUCCACAACCACUUGUAGCCUCGUGUCACCAACACUACACUAACCACUUUCCUCUUCACCUUUUCUCUUGUUUCACCUUUCAGGAGAUCAUAGACUGGCGUACUAGGUAUUUGGAGCAUGUUUUGCAUUGCUUUGGGAGAUUGUGGAGUUCGAAGCAUAACUCGUUAUGCAAGUGUCUUUUUGACUUUGUUGUUCUUAUGUCUUUUGCAAACUUUGACUAUAUAUAUUUUUGAUAUGAGGCCUUGUGUCCUCAUUUGUAUUAUUUAUAUUUUUCGCUGCGUAGGUUAUGGAUUUUUAUGGUUUUAAAGUAUUUUAUUAUUUUAUUAUUUUUUUAAACUCAAGCGUCGACACCGGAAUCACGAUCUAGGCUUGUCAUGAUGAUUUGAGGAGUCGGCGAUGAAUCAGUUCGUCAUGGUAUGAGAUUUUUAAGGCGAUGAUGCCUAGGAUGAGUUUAGUUAUUUUAUUGUGUUUUAUCUUCCAUCAAGUCUUCAGUUUUAGACGAAAUGUUGCCAAAUUUUCCACUCAUAUUCUUAAUGUAUAUUAUUAUUUUAAUUAUUUUAAUGUAACACCCGAAUUUCCUCCCGUUCUUUGCGGUUUUAGUUCCGUGUAAGGGGUCGGAAAUUCAGGGGUGUUAGAAGGAGUUAUGCUUGUGAGAUGAGUAAGGUCGUAGUCAUGGGUAAUAUAAGCACCGAAAGCUUUUGAGUUUGUCACAAUAAGGGGGUUUUAGAAAAGAGAAUUGUAGGGAGAAUUAUAGCCAAGAAACAGAGCGGGUUUCUGUUAACUAUGGGAAUGAUUCAACUCCAGCUCAAGCUCACAUGAACACGAGGUCUAUAAGGAUUGAUGAUAUGGCACGUAAAGAUUAGCUUCAAGAAGAUCAGCUUACAACGUUAGCAGCACACUGCUUGUCUUAUAUUUCUACGCUUAUGUAUAGAAAGUUGUUAGGGAGUUUUAGUCUUUUCUGUUCUGGCAACCAAGUUUGUUAUGAGUUAGUUAUAAGAAACUUGUCUUGCUUCUGAUCUCAGUGUAUAUAUAGGUGUUCCUUACAGCCUUUGUAAUUGUCUUGAAUUCAUUAAUAAAAAAUCUGUCUCUCAAGUGUUAA
Molecule: long non-coding RNA, 1363 nt
Organism: Amaranthus tricolor (Joseph's coat)
Lineage: Eukaryota; Viridiplantae; Streptophyta; Magnoliopsida; Caryophyllales; Amaranthaceae
Exons: 2
Source: RefSeq, a predicted model, not a curated record